This 681-nucleotide ribosomal RNA is filed under the name uncultured Bacteroidales bacterium. RNAcentral describes it as "bacterial SSU rRNA". It matches the Rfam family "Bacterial small subunit ribosomal RNA", at positions 68 to 738 of the family's 1533-position model. Lineage: Bacteria; Pseudomonadati; Bacteroidota; Bacteroidia; Bacteroidales. The record is from RNAcentral.
GCAGCAUUUCAGUUUGCUUGCAAACUGGAGAUGGCGACCGGCGCACGGGUGAGUAACACGUAUCCAACCUGCCGAUAACUCGGGGAUAGCCUUUCGAAAGAAAGAUUAAUACCCGAUGGUAUAAUCAGACCGCAUGGUCUUGUUAUUAAAGAAUUUCGGUUAUCGAUGGGGAUGCGUUCCAUUAGGCAGUUGGUGAGGUAGCGGCUCACCAAACCUUCGAUGGAUAGGGGUUCUGAGAGGAAGGUCCCCCACAUUGGAACUGAGACACGGUCCAAACUCCUACGGGAGGCAGCAGUGAGGAAUAUUGGUCAAUGGGCGCAGGCCUGAACCAGCCAAGUAGCGUGAAGGAUGACUGCCCUAUGGGUUGUAAACUUCUUUUAUAUGGGAAUAAAGUUUUCCACGUGUGGAAUUUUGUAUGUACCAUAUGAAUAAGGAUCGGCUAACUCCGUGCCAGCAGCCGCGGUAAUACGGAGGAUCCGAGCGUUAUCCGGAUUUAUUGGGUUUAAAGGGAGCGUAGGUGGACAGUUAAGUCAGUUGUGAAAGUUUGCGGCUCAACCGUAAAAUUGCAGUUGAUACUGGCUGUCUUGAGUACAGUAGAGGUGGGCGGAAUUCGUGGUGUAGCGGUGAAAUGCUUAGAUAUCACGAAGAACUCCGAUUGCGAAGGCAGCUCACUGGACUGCA